GGUUUUAUUUUUUGUUUGCUUUUUUUUUUUUUUGGNNNNNNNNNNNNNNNNNNNNNNNNNNNNCCUUUUUUUUUUUUUUUGGAUUUGGGCUCCUACCUCUGAGGUACCAGCUCCUCAAUGUUUCAGCACAAAGCCAGUUACAGAAACAACAGGCUAUGGAAAUGGAGGGGUCUUCCAAUUGGGUUUUGGGUAAGAAAUCUCAGAUAACCCAAUUCUUUCAAUGUCUGGGGACAGUAAGGGGGAAAGUUGGAGCUCGGUAGACAUGCAGUGCCUGAGCGAGUCCCGAGUGACCAAGAGCUCAUGGUUUGGGUUGAUUUUAGGGUCCCUUUUUACGGUAAUCUAAUCCUUGUCUCACCUCAGAUGCCGAGACAUGUUGAAAAGGGAGAGGUAAAAAAUCCGACACAUUUACCAGUUCUGUUACUGCUCCAGUUGUCUCCAUUGGAUCUUCCAGAAGACCUAGGGAAUGAAUCCCCCAUGGCUUUGGCUGCAAGCAAACCACGUGAGCCCGCCCUUAUCUGCAGAGGCAAAGGCACAAAUGGGGUUUUAGCCUUCUGCACCCCUAUCCCCCCUCCAUGGAAACCCUCCAUCUGUCCAGCAUCCGAAGGGACUCAUCUCCAAACCGCCUACAAGGUCUCCAGAGACCCAAGCGAUGGCAAAACCAUCAAGCCAAGAGCUCGUAGGCUUUGCCCAGGAGUAAAUCAUGGCUGAAUAUCACAUGGGAGAUAAACCCAAGCAGGAAUUCAUGGUUGGAAGGAGGACAACGUGGCCAUGAAAAAUGGGCAGCUCUUUGCUUAUGGAAGGUCUGAUGGCAGACUUUGCAUUUGUAAAUUCAUAUUCUGAGCCUUGCAGCUUGGGCUUAGAGCAUCGGAUGAGGUUUAUGAGUAACAGAUUCUCCAAGGAUGCAAAGGGUCUUGCUCUGGCUACAACAGAAUGAGUCAAUUUAUUUUAUUUUAUUUUUCUUGGGUUUGUUUGUUGUUAUGUUUUUGUUUUUUUUUUUUUAUUAGUCCCAGUGGGGAAACACCCGGGGAGAUUCAUGACUUCCAUACAGUUUCCAGGGGCUUCUAUCUUCAUUUCCUUCUAGCGGGCAGGGUAGGUGCAGUUCGGCGGGUGGCUUUGGAUGGGAUGCUGGCUGGUGGGAGAAAAAUAGGUCCAGUUUCUUUGCACGGCAGGGGUCACAGGCCCGUUGUGAUCCCACUCACAGGCUCCAGCAGACAUUCCCGGGGAGGGGGGCGUUUCACUGUGCUCGGCUUCCCUUUAGACGACGAUCUCCAAAUGAACCCUCGACUUCCCCGCUGUUUCUUUCUGUGCAACAAAGGACUGAAUAUUUUCCUUUUUAACUCCGUGGGCAAUCGUAGUAGUAUGUAGAUUAAGCCCAGAUGAUUUUUUUUUUUUUUUGCUAAGUUAUUGUACCCAAUGCUUUUUGUAUCAGGCGGCAUCACUUUGAAUAUGCAGAUGAGGUAUAGGAUCUUGACACUUUAUAACUUUUUUUAAAAAAGAAACUUGUCUGUUUACUUAUGUCUUGUGUAAAAAGGAAAAAAAAAAAUGUAUGCCUUUUAGUUAUCACUUUUUUUUUUUUUGAGUUCUAUGAAAUUACAGUGGUUUCACUCCAGCAGCAGCGAAAUAAAAAGCGUUUCACUGUUUUGUACAUCCCUGUGUGCUGCAGUGCUGCUAGGGUCGGUGGAGGGGUGCACAAGGAGGGUGUAUUGGGGUCCUCAGCUGACAUCUUCAGCCCUCUCUUGUUCCCCCCAGAUGCAUCUCAGCUACAUUCCCUGGGAUAUUUUUACUUGUCUCAUCCCCCUGCCCUUUUCUCAGGGCUCCCAGGACAGAUAACAGAGGUGGCUGGGAAAGGGUAGGACCUACUGUGACCUACUGAGACCCCGGAGCACAUGCUCGAUUAAUCACAUGCUCGAUUGCCAAAGCAUGUCAUGGUGUGUAGGUAUCUGCCUCAUCAUCAAAUAAUUGGCAUAAGGAAAGCCCACGCACAUGCCCUGAUCCAGUGCCUAGCGUGUCUCAGCUGAUGGAGUUGGACAAAUGCUGUUGCUACUGAUGCUGUAAGGUCCAGAGAUGCCUUGUCCCAUAUAGAAGGAGCUGGCUCCGUGGCAAGGCUGUAGGGUAGCAAAGCUGACCACCCGAUGGUCCUGGUUGAGACCCCAGAGGACCGUGGCUACUAAACUAUGCUGUGCAAAACCCUUGAGGUGACCUGUGCAGCAAGUAGCCCUUGUACCAGAAACACCGAAUACUUGGAUCUACAAUGACCAGCCUCUCUGGGCCCUAUAAUGAAGCAGCAAUGGGAGAAACCAGCUCCCAAAUAGCCAUCACCUACCAGCAUGACCUGGGAUGGGUUGGGAGCCUGGGCAGGGACUGCAGUUGGAGAGGUGGUGGCUGCUUCUCCCUCUCCUGCUUCUUCUCCCAUUAUAGACCAGUCAAACAGCUAAAUCUACUGGGUGGAGAACAGCCACUGUGACUGAAGGCUUGGGGCAGCAUCCUCCAGUUGAGCAACACCAGACGCGUUGACCUCAGUCCACCCAGGAAGGCAGACUGGGUGGACUGGUCAGCACACCAUCAAGGAGGAGACAGGCUGGAUGUCUGGGCAGGCUGUCUGCUGGCAAGAAGAGGACUUUUGCAGGGAGG
RNAcentral lists this long non-coding RNA (2631 nucleotides) under Anas zonorhyncha (Eastern spot-billed duck). RNAcentral describes it as "lncRNA (ENSAZOG00000014682.1)". The record is from RNAcentral. Lineage: Eukaryota; Metazoa; Chordata; Aves; Anseriformes; Anatidae.